CCUACGGGUGGCAGCAGUGGGGAAUAUUGCACAAUGGGGGAAACCCUGAUGCAGCGACGCCGCGUGAGUGAAGAAGUAUUUCGGUGUGUAAAGCUCUGUCAGCAGGGGAGAAAAUGACGGUACCUGACCAAGAAGCCCCGGCUAACUACGUGCCAGCAGCCGCGGUAAUACGUAGGGGGCACGCGUUAUCCGGAUUUACUGGGUGUAAAGGGAGCGUAGACGGCAGGGCAAGUCUGGAGUGAAAGGCGGGGGCUCAACCCCCGGACUGCGCUGGAAACUGCCAGGCUGGAGUGCAGGAGAGGUAAGCGGAAUUCCUAGUGUAGCGGUGAAAUGCGUAGAUAUUACGAGGAACACCAGUGGCGAAGGCGGCUUACUGGACUGUAACUGACGUUGAGGCUCGAAAGCGUGGGGAGCAAACAGGAUUAGAUACCCUGGUAGUC
Molecule: ribosomal RNA, 440 nt
Filed under: uncultured bacterium
Lineage: Bacteria
Description: partial 16S ribosomal RNA
Rfam family: Bacterial small subunit ribosomal RNA
Source: RNAcentral